RNAcentral lists this long non-coding RNA (2231 nucleotides) under Triticum aestivum (bread wheat). RNAcentral's name for it is "long non-coding RNA (TAES_LNC008341)". The record is from RNAcentral. Lineage: Eukaryota; Viridiplantae; Streptophyta; Magnoliopsida; Poales; Poaceae.
GACAUAUUUAAUGCGCAAUUGACCAAAUGGUUGGGUGUAAAAAGUUUGGAUCCACCUCUCGUGGAAAGUACAAAUUCUCACCGAUUCAGCCGGAAGCGGGUCAAAUUUAAACUGUAGCUACCUCGUAGUUUGCUCUUUAUUUUUUCCAAAAAUCAUUUCUAGGUACAUAAGUAUCUAAUUAAUCAGAGAAACAUCAAAAUGUCUCCAAGAUUCAACAACUAGCUAGGAACGGUCAAGCCCGCCGUUUUGACCGCAUUUUGAAACGGACAUAAAAAAUUCAAAAAAAAUCAAAAAAUUGGAAAACAUUCGCAUUGUGUCAUCAUAUGUGACCAAGUUUCCAGCAAAAAUAAUGAACUUGUAAUAUGGCAAUUAUUUAAAAAAAGUGUUCUCAGAAACAAGCUAUUAAGUGUGAAGAUUCAUGGCUUUCAAGCCAAAUGAUCAAUCUUAUGGCCACAUUCAUGACAUAGUUUGUUCAAAUGAUCUCAUAUUGUGCGCAAGGGUGCAUCUUGGAAUGGCAGACAAUGUUUUCUAAGGAAGUUUCAUUUUCUUUGGAAGAAAAAUUCAUUUUCCAAUUUUCGAGUGCCCGAAAUGAGUUUUUUAUGAAGGAGCUAUAAUAUAUUUGUUCUAAAAUUGUACCAAAUAAAUUUCCGAAAAUACUAGGACAUAUUUCGUGCAUAAUUGACCAAAUGGUUGGGUGUAAAAAGUUUUGAUCCACCUCUCGUGAAAAGGACAAAUUCUCGCCGAUUCAGCCGGAAGCUGGUCAAAUUUGAGUUUUGCUACCACAUAGUUUGCUGUUUAUUUUUUCAAAAAAUCAUUUCUAGGUACAUAAGUAUCUAUUUAAUCAGAGAAACAUCAAAAGGUCUCCAAGAUUCAACAACUAGCUAGGAACGGUCAAGCCCGUCGUUUUGACCGCAUUUUGAAACGGGCAUAAAAGUUCAAAAAAAAAACAAAAAAUUGGAAACCCUUCGCAUUGUGUCAUCAUAUGUGACCAAGUUUCCAGCAAAAAUAAUAAACUUCUAAUACAGCAAUUAUUUUAAAAAAGUGUUAUCAGAAACGAGCUAUCAAGUGUGAAGAUUCAUGGCUUUCAAGCCAAAUGAUCAAUCUUAUGGCCACAUUCAUGACAUAGUUCGUUCAAAUGAUCUCAUAUUGUGCGCAAGGGUCCAUCUUGGAAUGGCAGACAAUGUUUCCUAAGGAAGUUUUCAUUUUCUUUGGAAGAAAAAUUAAUUUUCCAUUUUUCGAGUGGCCGAAAUGAGUUUUUUUGUGAAGGAGCUAUAAUAUAUUUGUUGCAAAAUUGUACCAAAUUAAUUUCCGAAAAUACUAGGACAUAUUUAAUGCAUAAUUGACCAAAUGGUUGGGUGUAGAAAGUUUUGAUCCACCUCUCGUGAGAAGGACAAAUUCUCGCCGAUUCAGCCGGAAGCGCGUCAAAUUUGAACUAUAGCUACCUCGUAGUUUGCUCUUUAUUUUUUUUCUGAAAAUCAUUUCUAGGUACAUAAGUAUCUAUUUAAUCAGAGAAACAUCAAAAGGUCUCCAAGAUUCAAUAACUAGCUAGGAACGGUCAAGCCCGUCGUUUUGACCGCAUUUUGAAACGGGCAUAAAAAAUUCAAAAAAACAAAAAAUUGGAAACCCUUCGCAUUGUGUCAUCAUAUGUGACCAAGUUUCCGGCAAAAAUAAUAAACUUGUAAUACGGCAAUUAUUUUAAAAAAGUGUUCUCAGAAACGAGCUAUCAAGUGUGAAGAUUCAUGCCUUUCAAGACAAAUGAUCAAUCUUAUGGCCACAUUCAUGACAUAGUUCGUUCAAAUGAUCUCAUAUUGUCCGCAAGGGUGCAUCUUGGAAUGGCUGACAAUUUUUCCUAAGGAAGGUUUCAUUUUCUUUGGAAGAAAAAUUCAUUUUCCAUUUUUCGAGUGCCCGAAAUGAGUUUUUUUGUGAAGGACCUAUAAUAUAUUUGUUGCAAAAUUGUACCAAAUCAAUUUUCUAAAAUACUAGGACAUAUUUAAUGCACAAUUGACCAAAUGGUUGGGUGUAAAAAGUUUGGAUCCACCUCUCGUGGAAAGUACAAAUUCUCACCUAUUCAGCCGGAAGCGGGUCAAAUUUAAACUGUAGCUACCUCGUAGUUUGCUCUUUAUUUUUUCCAAAAAUCAUUUCUAGGUACAUAAGUAUCUAAUUAAUCAGAGAAACAUCAAAAGGUCUCCAAGAUUCAACAACUAGCUAGGAACGGUCAAGCCCGCCGUUUU